Molecule: non-coding RNA, 3517 nt
Organism: Anas platyrhynchos (mallard)
Lineage: Eukaryota; Metazoa; Chordata; Aves; Anseriformes; Anatidae
Source: RefSeq, a predicted model, not a curated record
ACAUAGAUCUUAGCUCCGGAAAUGUGAAACCACUGCUGCUGGAGAGGCACAAGAAGACAUAUAAAUCCUGCAGAUAACGCAGUGAUGGAUCAGUAGUGGCAAGACAUUAACCUUCACUCUUGAGGAGACACCCAAAUGAUAACACCUGUAGCCACGCCACUCCGGAGUUAUCUGUCUUGUCACUUGAGAAGAUAAAUCUAUCUGACCUGAACCAUCACUCUACGCCCCUCUGGCUCGCUCGCUCAGAGUCCUCACAGAUACAGGCAGGGAUCAGGAAAAUCACACCUAAUAAUCAAUUGAGUGUGUGUAACAGGGCUCACAUGGAAACCAUUUCCCCACAGUACGCUAAAAUAAUUCUGCAGAGCAGGGAAAAACAUGGCAGGAUUGAAGGCCAGUCUGCAGGGAGAGUGCUACAUGUCAGUGACAACUGUGGAAGGACAGAAAACAGCUACCAAAACCUUAAGGAGCUGUCACGCACAGGAAAAAGGGCAAGAUGCAUUUUCCUGGCCACCGAAAUGGUUUGGGGAUGAAGAGUUGUGCUCGUGCAGCUGUGGCAAUGCUAUUCUGGCUUAGCUGAAAAUACAGAGCUGAACUCAUGUGUGGGCCUUCAAGAGGCUGUCCCGGAGACCGCAAGAUUAGAGGAGCGGACCACGACCUGCAAGGCCAAGGUCUGUGCCCAGCUGCACGGAGGGAUUCUCGGGCGAGUCACAAGAUGUUCUCCACCUCCGUUUCCACAGAGAUAAAAGAAGGGCAGGGAAACCGAGCUGGCCGGAGAGCACAUCUCCAAGGGAAGGCCCUUUGCAGCACGGAGUGGCCUUCCCACUCCUUUAGGCUAAGCUGCCUGACCCUCUAAGAGAUGCGGAGGAGCAGAUCCGUAGCUAAACCCAAGGAUUUCUCCAAAGUUUAAAGAGGGAAAGAAUAACGCAGCUCCCCACCCCACAGCCCAUCCUUAAGCUCCUCUACCCCACCCCAACCAACUCCCAUUUCCCCCGUGUUUUCCCAGAGACCACUUCUGACCCCUGGUGGGUCACAGAUUUUGGAUGCCCAGCCCUGUGUGCUCCUGCUGCUGGGAAGGCUGCCAGACAGACGCUGGGCAGCCAGAAACAUCGGGACGAGGCAGGAAUUGCAGCCAGCCCUUGUCCAACCGCCUCCUGUCCAAACACUCGCUAGAGAUCUAACAGCACAGAAAAAAAAAAAAAAAAAAAAAAGGAAAGCGCGGGAUAACCCCAGCAUCCUGGCCAACAUCUCCUCUCGCUGGGCUGCGAGAGCUAUUGUCAGGCACAUAAUGACUGCUCCACCGGCUCCACUGCCAGCAUUCAGCUCAUUACUUUGCAAAGUGCUUUGAAACGCACUGAAUACGCAAGGUGCUCUAUCAGCCCAAAUUCAGCUCUGUUUGAUAUUACAAUGCAGCGUGUUUUACCGCACGCCUUUUGUCUGCCUCUUUUGAUGGUACCCAGUUGUUCCCAUAAUUCAGUAUUCCGGAGUCAUUAGUUGGAAUUAGUAAAGUCCUGCUGACGGACUUUCCUGAGGCUCUGUUCUCGGGCUACAAAGAGACGACUGGGAGUUGUCCUGCGUUCCCAAAGGCAGAGCUGCCAUGGGGGUGUCCCGGGGGGAGCAGACAGACAGAAAUGCUGGACAGAUGGACUGCAGUGUGGUCAGAGGGGGUGUUCAUGGCCAAAAGGGAACCUACAAAUGCAUUCAUCUGGUUCCUUUUUACAGCACCAGCUGAAGGGCUUCACCCCAGCUGCUUUUAGACAGCACAUCCUACAGAGUUCAUGUUUCUCUUCCAGGAAUUCCCUGCCCUUGGUGUCAGGGCACCAGCACCCAAGUAUUCAUCUCCUUCUAGCUUCUGGCUGUCCUCCUGGGUCUCACACUCGGACUCAGGGGGAAGCCCAGGAGAGAGAGAGACGGCGGCUGCAUCUACAGUGCUGCACUAAAAGCCCUCGACAGACCUUCAGUCCUCAAGUUUCCCCGAUCGGUUCUUGAAGCCACUUUUACUUUUGGCAUCCGCAACAUCCUGUGGCAACAAGUUCCACGCUUUAAUUACACCUUUUAUGAAAAAGUGCUUCCUGCUGUUUAAAGCCUCUGCCCAACCGUUUCAUGCUUUUUCUCUAGCUCUUGUGUUUGCAGGACACAACAAACAAUGGUUCCUCCUGCACCUCUACACCACAUAGGGUUCACGUGCCCCACUUGCAGACCUCUCUGGUCCUUCUCCUCCAGAGGACCUCUGAAAAGACCCCAUUCAGCUAAGAAAAUGCACAGUGUCCUCUCUGAAACAGCCCCCCACCGAGCUCCAUGUCCUGUACAUCCACCCUGCAGCAUCAAAACACCUUAAAACGCACCCUCAACUUUACACGAGGGAGCAGUCCUGCCAAAAUCAAGGUGUGAUGAUCACGUAUUGAUGAUCUGGCUGCACAAACCAACCCGGCUGUGCUGAGCUGUGAUCCCCAGCACCCCUCCCUGCCUCUCCUCCCCACCCAGCAUCACCAGCCCAGAAUACAACCAGACUGCUCCCCAGAGCAUAAAUACCAUUGAGGACAUGCUGCAUGCCUGCGCUGGGAGAACCAGCACUCUGGAGAGAUCAGAGAUGCUUUCUGCCUCACAGCCCCAAGGUCUUUGCCUUUCACUGGCGUGCUUCGCAGCACAGAUGCACUUAAAAUUCAAGCUCACAGCAGCUCUCCUUUUAUUUUAAGAGAUUUAUAUCCCCCCCUAAAUUAAAAAGUUUCUCUCUCUUGAGCCAGGAGAGCUGUGGAGAGCAGGUGACCUUGGCAAGCUCCUUCCCACCUGCCCAUACACCUGGGCAAUAGGCCUAAUUGGCACGGGUGUUAAUUAAAGGCAGCUCCUUGGAAGCUAAUGGUGCACUGCAGCUGAAGAGCAGCAGCGGAGAGACACACAGCUUUAUGUGCAGAUGCACAGCUGAGAGCAAAGGUUAUAACAAAUUGAAGAACAACCGGCUGUGCUGAGCCCAUGUAGCAGUGGUGCUGGGGACACAGCUGCCUCGAUGCUCCCUGCCAGCACCCUUGUGCCUGUGUGUGCAGGUGAAUGAGGACUGGAGAAGCUGGAACAACGUUUUCUAUCCCAUUUUGACUCACCUAGCAUUUAGUUAUGGAUUUUUUCCUCUUGCUGUGACUGCCUCAUUAAAGACCCCGGAGGUGUAUGAAACAGUGGGCAGCCAGGCCCUGGGGCUCUGGGGACGCUGUAGAAAAUGCAAGCACUUUGAUAUUUGUGACACUUUUCCUUUCACAAGUAAAUCUGAGCUGGUUUGGCUCGGCACACAUGGAGCUGCCAGGGAAGGGGACGCACAGCCGCUGCAUUCAGAGGGCAGUGCUGGGUCCCUGCUCUGCAGUGCUGCCAAAAACACCCCUGCAACUGCCUCAGAAGCCAGGGCUGGGCAGCUGCAGAUCAUCAGCUGCCUUCAUGCCUCUCCAAAUCCUCCGAUUUUACAGCAGCAAGCAUCAGACCUCAGCUGAGGAUGUGCUGAAGUGGCCUGAGAUCAGACUCCAGGCAGCUGUUUUCU